RNAcentral lists this ribosomal RNA (465 nucleotides) under uncultured bacterium. RNAcentral's name for it is "partial 16S ribosomal RNA". It matches the Rfam family "Bacterial small subunit ribosomal RNA", at positions 338 to 795 of the family's 1533-position model. The record is from RNAcentral.
CCUACGGGGGGCAGCAGUAGGGAAUCUUCCACAAUGGGCGAAAGCCUGAUGGAGCACCGCCGCGUGGGUGAAGAAGGUCUUCGGAUCGUAAAACCCUGUUGUUAGAGAAGAAAGUGCGUGAGAGUAACUGUUCACGUUUCGACGGUAUCUAACCAGAAAGCCACGGCUAACUACGUGCCAGCAGCCGCGGUAAUACGUAGGUGGCAAGCGUUAUCCGGAUUUAUUGGGCGUAAAGGGAACGCAGGCGGUCUUUUAAGUCUGAUGUGAAAGCCUUCGGCUUAACCGGAGUAGUGCAUUGGAAACUGGGAGACGUGAGUGCAGAAGAGGAGAGUGGAACUCCAUGUGUAGCGGUGAAAUGCGGAGAUAUAGGGAAGAACACCAGUGGCGAAAGCGGCUCUCUGGUCUGUAACUGACGCUGAGGUUCGAAAGCGUGGGUAGCAAACAGGAUUAGAUACCCUUGUAGUC